RNAcentral lists this ribosomal RNA (464 nucleotides) under uncultured bacterium. RNAcentral describes it as "partial 16S ribosomal RNA". It matches the Rfam family "Bacterial small subunit ribosomal RNA", at positions 339 to 795 of the family's 1533-position model. The record is from RNAcentral.
CUACGGGGGGCUGCAGCUAAGAAUCUUCCGCAAUGGGCGCAAGCCUGACGGAGCGAUGCCGCGUGAAUGAAGAAUGCAGAGAUGUUGUAAAAUUCUUUUAUGAGAGAGGAAUAAUAUUAUCAGGAAAUGGAUAAUAGAUGACGUUAACUCAUGAAUAAGCUCCGGCGAAUUACGUGCCAGCAGCCGCGGUAACACGUAAGGAGCGAGCGUUGUUCGGAAUUACUGGGCGUAAAGGGCGUGUAGGCGGUUACUUAAGUCUUCUUUGAAAGACCGGUGCUUAACACCGGGAACGGGGAGGAAACUGAGUGACUAGAAUCCGGUAGGGAAAUGUGGAAUUCCUAGUGUAGGGGUGAAAUCUGUUGAUAUUAGGAAGAACACCAAUGGCGAAGGCAACAUUUUGGGCCUGGAUUGACGCUGAGGCGCGAAAGCAUAGGUAGCAAACAGGAUUAGAUACCCCGGUAGUC